CCUACGGGAGGCAGCAGUGAGGAAUAUUGGUCAAUGGGCUUACGCCUGAACCAGCCAAGUCGCGUGAGGGAAGACUGCCCUAUGGGUUGUAAACCUCUUUUGUCAGGGAGCAAUUGGCGCUACGUGUAGCGUUAUCGAGAGUACCUGCAGAAAAAGCAUCGGCAAACUCCGUGCCAGCAGCCGCGGUAAUACGGAGGAUGCGAGCGUUAUCCGGAUUUAUUGGGUUUAAAGGGUGCGUAGGCGGAAUGCCAAGUCAGCGGUAAAAUCGCGGGGCUCAACCUCGCUCCGCCGUUGAAACUGGCGGUCUUGAGUGGGCGAGAAGUAUGCGGAAUGCGUGGUGUAGCGGUGAAAUGCAUAGAGAUCACGCAGAACUCCGAUUGCGAAGGCAGCAUACCGGCGCCCAACUGACGCUGAAGCACGAAAGCGUGGGUAUCGAACAGGAUUAGAUACCCGAGUAGUC
RNAcentral lists this ribosomal RNA (460 nucleotides) under uncultured bacterium. RNAcentral's name for it is "partial 16S ribosomal RNA". It matches the Rfam family "Bacterial small subunit ribosomal RNA", at positions 338 to 795 of the family's 1533-position model. The record is from RNAcentral.